Molecule: ribosomal RNA, 1195 nt
Filed under: Camptotheca acuminata
Lineage: Eukaryota; Viridiplantae; Streptophyta; Magnoliopsida; Cornales; Nyssaceae
Description: bacterial LSU rRNA
Rfam family: Bacterial large subunit ribosomal RNA
Source: RNAcentral
AGUCGUCCUGCGCGGAAGAUGUAACGGGGCUCAAGCCGGUUACCGAAGCUGCGGAUGCGUGGCAACACGCAUGGUAGGAGAGCGUUCUGUAGGCCUGUGAAGGUGGCUCGUAAGGCCUGCUGGAGGUAUCAGAAGUGCGAAUGCUGACAUGAGUAGCGUUAAAGGGGAUGAAAAGCCCCCUCGCCGUAAGCGCAAGGUUUCCUACGCAACGUUCAUCGGCGUAGGGUGAGUCGGCCCCUAAGGCGAGGCAGAGAUGCGUAGCUGAUGGGAAACAGGUCAAUAUUCCUGUACCGCUCUGUAGUGCGAUGUGGGGACGGAGAAGGUUAGCUCGGCCGGGUGUUGGAUGUCCCGGUUUAAGCGUGUAGUCGUGGCCCUUAGGCAAAUCCGGGGGUCUUAGAUGAGGCGUGAUGACGAGGCGGCUUGCCGCCGAAGUGAGUGAUACCCUGCUUCCAGGAAAAGCCACUAAGCUUCAGCUACAGACGACCGUACCGCAAACCGACACUGGUGCGCGAGAUGAGUAUUCUCAGGCGCUUGAGAGAACUCGGGAGAAGGAACUCGGCAAAUUGAUACCGUAACUUCGGGAGAAGGUAUGCCCUGUUAGGGUGAUCCGCUUGCGCGGUGAGCCUGAGAGGGUCGCAGAGAAUAGGUGGCUGCGACUGUUUACUAAAAACAUAGCACUCUGCAAACACGAAAGUGGACGUAUAGGGUGUGACGCCUGCCCGGUGCCGGAAGGUUAAGUGAUGGGGUGCAAGCUCUUGAUCGAAGCCCCGGUAACGUCGGCCGUAACAAUAACGGUCCUAAGGUAGGNNNNNNNNNNAGUUCCGACCUGCACGAAUGGCGUAACGAUGGCCACACUGUCUCCUCCCGAGACUCAGCGAAGUUGAAAUGUUUGUGAUGAUGCAAUCUCCCCGCGGAAAGACGGAAAGACCCCAUGAACCUUUACUGUAGCUUUGUAUUGGACUUUGAACCGAUCUGUGUAGGAUAGGUGGGAGGCUAUGAAACCGGGACGCUAGUUCCGGUGGAGCCGUCCUUGAAAUACCACCCUGGUUUGUUUGAGGUUCUAACCUAGGUCCAUUAUCUGGAUCGGGGACAGUGCAUGGUAGGCAGUUUGACUGGGGCGGUCUCCUCCUAAAGCGUAACGGAGGAGUUCGAAGGUACGCUAGGUACGGUCGGAAAUCGUGCUGAUAGUGCAAUG